UCCGGGGCACGCUCACCCGCGCAGGCCUGAGGCCGCGUCCGCUCCCGCUCGGGGCCAGCUCCCUCUUCCAGGCUCCAGCCCAGGUUUCCGGUAGACAAGCCCCGACCUGCUUGUUCGGACUGCGGCCCUGGACGGCUGGAAACACAAAGUGACGACGUAAGAACACUCUCCGCUUCUCACGCAAAGUCACGACGUAAGAACCCUCUCCGCUUCUCACGCAAAGUCACGACGUAAGAACCCUCUCCGCUUCUCACGCAAAGUCACGACGUAAGAACCCUCUCCGCUUCUCACGCAAAGUCACGACACUCCCAUUGCCCAUGUCAUUGGAUGUAGAAAGAGAUUUUGUUGUCUGAACACUUCAGCACCAUCCUCAAAGCUGUGGACGACAGAGACUCGUCUUGCUUUGUUGCCCAGGCUGGUUUUGAACUCCCAGCAUGAAGUGAUCCUCCCGCCUUGGCCUCCCAAAGGGUUGACCAAGUGGCAUGAGCCACCACACUGGACUCCUGAUCUUUAAUAGUCACUACUAUUACUCAUUUCCAAGUUGCAAGUCAACAGAAGCAGUCCCACCUGGAAAGGAUCCAAAUGAUCUACUUUAGAGAGCAGUGCUAUCUACGGGAGAGGAGACUGGCAUCUCGUUUUUCCAUCUGGAAGCUGGAUAUCUUGCCUCCACAAUGAAAUAUAGGAGCAUUUGGGGAGAAAAUGUCUCCAGGAAAUUGGGUCAUACAAGAUAAAAGUAGAGACUUAACUCUCCCCUCUUAGGGUGGGGAACUUAGCCAGAUUUGCCCAUGGCAUCAGACAAGGUUUUCUAACAAGCCAGCCCAGAUUCUUAAGAAUCACUCUUUCCUCUGAAUUUCAUAUUGCUGAUUGGUGAUGAAAUAAAAUAUUCUGUCCCUGUAAGUACCCUCAGACCACAACGCCUAAUUUUCAGUUGAAAAAUGUGGUCACCCUACACCUAGUCUUUCUACUUUCUGUUACCAUUUAUUUUCAUGUUUAUGCCCUAUAUGUCACUACAAAUUCCUUGAUGGCAGGGUUAUUCUUCUUACUUGUCUCAUUAUAUACCCAGAUUUAACAUGCAGCCGAUUCUAGGUAAAUGUUUGCUGCUGGUGUUCAUGUUGCUGGUAACUCAGUUCUUCCCUCUUCCUUUUCUACUGUCUUUUCCCACCACCUUCCUGGGGACCUCUCCCAAAUACUUGUUGCCCUUAUGUUAACUUCCUAAUGGACUGGGAAUCAAAACUAUAGGCUUACUGUUUUACCAGUGAUCUGUGGGCCAGAUUUCUGAAAAGGCUUUGUUCCACUUCCUCUGUUUUUAAAGCAAGAACAACGAUAUAUUUUCCUCUGUCUAAUCACUAAGCAUAUUAACAGAAUCAAAUGAGAUGAUGUGAAUUGUGUUGCUCUGUAAAUCUGAUUAUGUAUCAUUAGCCCUUUGCAAGAUCAUUUCUGGAGAGAUACAGAAAUAACUCAUCUAAAAGGAUACUAGCUUCUCACAGGGUUUUCUUUUUUAUCCUCUUAUCAAUCUAGAAAUCAAGAUUGACAAGAUUUUAGUCCUUUAGGAAUGGGAUAGCUGGGCCAUGAAUCAAUUAUGACUUAUUUCAAGGAUUUAAACAAUGCAAAGAAAGCUUAGCUCUAAGGCUUCUCAUUCCCUAAAGGUUAAAAUUUGUAUCCUAAUUUCCAUUUCUGGAAUCUCUAUUAGUCACAAGGAGGAGUCUACUGUGCCCUAUUUUAGCAGAAGGCAGAUUAAGUACAAGAUUGAAAUUUGCUCUCAAAGAAAGCAAAUAGCCAUAUUUUUAUCUUGAGAAACUACUCUCUUGAAAACAAAAUGAAAGAUAAUAAGAUUAUCUGGUGGGUUUUAUUUGCCAUGUUAAUGCUCUGGAUGAUUCAGGAAAACAAGCCCAGAAACUGAAUUGUCUAGAUUAUUUGUCAUCAUCUGAAUCUGAAUUUGCUUAUUCCACAGAUAAAUCAGCCAACCCUUCAUUUCCCUGUUGGUUGUUUAAAAGUAGGGCAAUGAGUCUAACAUCUGAUUUUUCUUCUCUGGUAGUGAAGAGUCCAAGGCUCUGACCUCAGCUAGGAUUGUGGGGGUACAAAAUCAGAACUGCCUGGGGUGCAGGUGAAGAGCAAUGGGGGCCUGAGGUGGGGGACUCCAUGAAGGAGUCUCGGGAAGCAAAAAUAGAGAGCAAAGAAGGAUCAAUGGCCCAGACAAAUGGCCACCGAAUUCCAAACACACAUCAGCAACAGUGCACACAGGAUGGAGCGACCGUGAUGACAGAGUGUGUGGGCACCUGAAAGGGCAGCAGGCAGAAGGACAUUGUACACAGUGCUCUUCUCAGCACCAUUAGCUGCAGCAAGUCAGAGCCUGCACCUCAGGCUCCAAGCAGCAGCUGUCACUUCACGUAAUAUGUUCCCAAGCAGAACUGAGAUUAUCGAGUGAUCUCCAAAGUACUACAGAGAAGUCAACUAAUAGAAUCCUUGCUAAUGUGUUCGCUCGUUCAUUCCUUCAUUCAGCCCACAUGAAUCGAGUGCCAUUCUAUGCCCGAUCUGCUCUGAGCUAUUAGGAUAGGGCAGUGAAUGACACAUGUGGAGCUUAGAGGCUAGUGAAGGAAGACUGCAACUUUAGACAGAGUAACUAAGAAAGCCAUGUAGUAUUUGAUACGUAAGAAGAUAUUAAGGGCUAUGGAAAAAAUUACAGCAGGAUAAAAGGUACCGAGAGUGCUAAGAGUUGAAAACAUUUGCCAUUUUAAGCAGAAUACUUGCUGAGAAGGGGACAUUUGAGCAAAGACUUGAGAGAGGUGAAGGAGUUCAGCUUGUGGAUAUCUCGGAACACAAUGGUCCGCAGUGUUCCAGGCAAAGGGGACAGCCAGCUCCUGAGUCAGGGAGGUGCCUGGUGUGUUGGGGGAACAGCAAGGAGACCAGUGUGGCUGGAGGUGGGAGAGUGAAGAGGAGCGAGUGAGGGAUGAAAUCACAGAGGUAAGGAGGGGAGCAGAGUUGCAGGUCACACUGGGCCUUCUAGGUCUUUAGAAAGACUGUGACUUUUGAUCUGCAAGACAUGGGAAAUUGGUGGAGGUUUUCACAGCAGAGGAGUAAUGUGAUUGGAUUUAGCAUUCAAAGGAUUUCGUUGGACGCUGUAUUAAGAAGAGACUGUAGGGAAACAAGGGUGAAAGCAGAGACUGGUUAGGAGGCUUUUGUGUUAUUCCAAGGGAGAGAGAUGUCAGUACAAGCGAUGGGUAAAAUUUAACCUGCUGUUCCUCAGUGAACAGUACAUUUGGAUAUUGUGCCUAUAUUGAUUUUUUUUUGUUGUUAUUUCUUUUUUUUUUCUCCCCUGCUUCUUUUUUUUUUUUUUUUUUAAUUGAGACAGUGUGUUAGGCUGUCACCCAGGCUGGAGUGCAGGGGCACAACCAUGGCUCACUGCAGCCUCCACCUCCCAGUGUUCAGUGGGAGGUUGUGCUCCCACUGUGCUCAGGUGAUCCUCCCAUCUCAGCCUCCCAAGUAUCCGGGAUUACAAUCUCUUUAUGGCUCAGACAGUCAGCAGGGUUCACUGAGGUGGGGCCUGGUGAUGAGUCAAGCUAAAGACCCAAUGGUAAAUUGAUGAGGUCUGUUACAGAAUUUACUAUACGUCUAAACACAAAGCAAAAUAUUCAAAAUAUCUAAAUAUCUCAUCUGUGUUUUCUUAUCUCUAUCUAUCUAUAUUUCACCUAUAUUUGCUUACUCAUCCUUGUUGGCAUUCUUUUUACUGUCCUAUUUGCUGACACUUCAUAUGUAUUUUCUGAGGUAUUAUAUCCACAAGUUAUCUUGAAUCUCAAGAACCCAUAUGAUGAACAGAGUCUGGAGCAGCAUGGGUCUUGCACCUCUUCCUACCUUAAUUCUUCCCUCAGAGCUGCUAGGUUCACCCCAGUUGGCUGAUUUCAGGACCUAUAUUAUGGCAGGUGGAAAAUACAUGGCAGGAAGACUUAAUGCUGGACCCAGAUUUCCUUAUGGAAAAAAGACCACUGCAAGAGCUGUCUAGGGCCUGUGAAUGGGGGGUGAACUAGGCAGGUAUUCCUCUGGUGGGAGAUGCCAGCGCUGGCAGGAACCAGACAUGCAUCACCUAAGACAGGCUGCUGUGGAAUUCACAUUGCCCCAGUCACUGUGCUGAGGAGGAUCCAUUGUUUGAAGGCAGUAAUGACUCAGUUUCUGAUGCAGCCAACGUCAGUGAUAAAGUGAAUCCUCUGGAUUCCAGCAGUGACAAAGGAUUUCAUCUUCUAGAGUAAAUGAUUUUCUUGCUUUUCAUGGCGAAGAUUAAAAUAUUUUAUUAAUUCUUAGAUUUUUGUGACUGAUUUUACUCUACUACAUGGAGUGAAAUAUCAGCUUUUUAAAAAUUUCACUUAAUUUUCUCCUCUUUGCUCACUAGUAUCUACUGUGACAUGUGAAGGAACAUUACAAAAUAGGAAUCUUUUCUUUUCUUUUUUGAGACAGUCACUCUAUUGCCCAGGCUGGAGUGUAGUGGUGCGAUAUUGGCUCACUGCAACUUCCGCCUCCGGGUUGAAGUGAUUCUCGUGCCUCAGCCUUCUGAGUAGCUGACACUACAGGCACAUGCCACCACACCUGGCUAAUUUUUGUAUUUUUUAGUAGAGACAGGGGUUCCCCAUGUUGGCCAGGCUGGUCUCGAACUCCUGGGCUCUAGUGAUCUGCCUACCUCAGCCUCUGAAAGUGCUGGGAUUAUAAUUAUGAGCCCCUGUGCCUGGCAGGGAAUCUUUUCAACAUUUUCUGUUUUUAUAUUUCUUGUGACAAGUUCUUUUUUACUGUGAUAUUGUUAGUCUACAUGUACCGAAGUCUGCCAAGCAAGAAUCUUAGAUUUUAAACAUCAGAAACAGACUUUAGGCCAGGCACAGAGGCUGACCCCUGUAAUCCCAGCACUUUGGGAGGCCAAGGCAGGCGGAUCACCUGAGAUCAGGAGUUCGAGACUAGCCUGGCUAACAUGGUGAAACCCUGUCUCUACUAAAAAUACAAAAAUUAGCCAGGCGUGGUGGCAGGCAGCUGUAGUCCCAGCUACUCCAGGGGCUGAGGCAGGAGAAUCACCUGAACCCGGGUGGCAGAGGUUGCAGUGAGCCGAGAUCACACCACUGUACUCCAGUCUGCAUGGCAGAACAAGA
Molecule: non-coding RNA, 5123 nt
Organism: Callithrix jacchus (white-tufted-ear marmoset)
Lineage: Eukaryota; Metazoa; Chordata; Mammalia; Primates; Cebidae
Source: RefSeq, a predicted model, not a curated record